RNAcentral lists this non-coding RNA (180 nucleotides) under Gammaproteobacteria bacterium. RNAcentral describes it as "6S RNA". It matches the Rfam family "6S / SsrS RNA". Rfam says of the family: E. coli 6S RNA was the first non coding RNA to be sequenced, but its function was unknown until recently. It consists of 184 nucleotides that fold into an extended hairpin structure with a large single-stranded internal bulge. Lineage: Bacteria; Pseudomonadati; Pseudomonadota; Gammaproteobacteria. The record is from RNAcentral.
CACACCCUGCGGGGUUUGGUUUUUGCACUGGAAUUUCUUGUCCCAUAAUAACCUAAUUGGGAGUUGACCGUUUGUGUUGUGAGCAUGUCCGCUCGACGGAAAGCCUAAUACGCAAACAGAUUCGCCCACCUUUUGCUCUGGGUCAAGGGCAACGGUGCAGUCGGCUCACGCGGGGGGUGC